GACUGGGAUAACUCCGGGAAACCGGGGCUAAUACCGGAUGCUUGUUUGAACCGCAUGGUUCAAACAUAAAAGGUGGCUUCGGCUACCACUUACAGAUGGACCCGCGGCGCAUUAGCUAGUUGGUGAGGUAAUGGCUCACCAAGGCGACGAUGCGUAGCCGACCUGAGAGGGUGAUCGGCCACACUGGGACUGAGACACGGCCCAGACUCCUACGGGAGGCAGCAGUAGGGAAUCUUCCGCAAUGGACGAAAGUCUGACGGAGCAACGCCGCGUGAGUGAUGAAGGUUUUCGGAUCGUAAAGCUCUGUUGUUAGGGAAGAACAAGUACCGUUCGAAUAGGGCGGUACCUUGACGGUACCUAACCAGAAAGCCACGGCUAACUACGUGCCAGCAGCCGCGGUAAUACGUAGGUGGCAAGCGUUGUCCGGAAUUAUUGGGCGUAAAGGGCUCGCAGGCGGUUUCUUAAGUCUGAUGUGAAAGCCCCCGGCUCAACCGGGGAGGGUCAUUGGAAACUGGGGAACUUGAGUGCAGAAGAGGAGAGUGGAAUUCCACGUGUAGCGGUGAAAUGCGUAGAGAUGUGGAGGAACACCAGUGGCGAAGGCGACUCUCUGGUCUGUAACUGACGCUGAGGAGCGAAAGCGUGGGGAGCGAACAGGAUUAGAUACCCUGGUAGUCCACGCCGUAAACGAUGAGUGCUAAGUGUUAGGGGGUUUCCGCCCCUUAGUGCUGCAGCUAACGCAUUAAGCACUCCGCCUGGGGAGUACGGUCGCAAGACUGAAACUCAAAUGAAUUGACGG
RNAcentral lists this ribosomal RNA (796 nucleotides) under Bacillus sp. (in: firmicutes). RNAcentral's name for it is "bacterial SSU rRNA". It matches the Rfam family "Bacterial small subunit ribosomal RNA", at positions 136 to 916 of the family's 1533-position model. Lineage: Bacteria; Bacillati; Bacillota; Bacilli; Caryophanales; Bacillaceae. The record is from RNAcentral.